RNAcentral lists this ribosomal RNA (468 nucleotides) under uncultured bacterium. RNAcentral describes it as "partial 16S ribosomal RNA". It matches the Rfam family "Bacterial small subunit ribosomal RNA", at positions 28 to 507 of the family's 1533-position model. The record is from RNAcentral.
GACGAACGCUGGCGGCGUGCUUAACACAUGCAAGUCGUACGGAAAGGCCCUGCUUUUGUGGGGUGCUCGAGUGGCGAACGGGUGAGUAACACGUGAGUAACCUGCCCUUGACUUUGGGAUAACUUCAGGAAACUGGGGCUACUACCGGAUAGGAGAUCCUGCUGCAUGGUGGGGGUUGGAAAGUUUCGGCGGUUGGGGAUGGACUCGCGGCUUAUCAGCUUGUUGGUGGGGUAGUGGCUUACCAAGGCUUUGAAGGGUAGCCGGCCUGCGAGGGUGACCGGCCACAUUGGGACUGAGAUACGGCCCAGACUCCUACGGGAGGCAGCAGGGGGGAAUAUGGCACAAUGGGCGGAAGCCUGAUGCAGCAACGCCGCGUGCGGGAUGACCGCCUUCGGGUUGUAAACCGCUUUCGCCUGUGACGAAGCGUGAGUGACGGUAAUGAGUAAAGAAGCACCGGCUAACUACGUG